Non-coding RNA from Cherax quadricarinatus, 451 nucleotides. NCBI's taxonomy places the organism in Eukaryota, Metazoa, Arthropoda, Malacostraca, Decapoda, Parastacidae. The record is from RefSeq and is a predicted model, not a curated record.
AUAAUAUUUCUGUGAGUGUCGCAGGUAUGAGGGAGAUCUGAGGAAGGGGCAAGAGAAGAUCAGCACCAACCAGUGCUGCAUCGACAGGCUUAACAAGGAGCUGGCCAAGGUGCUGGACCUCGCUGGGGGUAGCGAGGCACCUCCUGCAGAACGCGAGGAGCGACGCCUGCGACUCCUACUGGCAGAGCGUGAGAAGGAGAGAAAAACACUGGAGGAGGAGGCUCUUACCGUGCAGCACCAUCUGCUGGAGACCAGGGACGCCAGGGAGGCCCUCACCAACAAUACUACCAGACUACAGCAAGAACUAAAUGUGUUGCGGGGACGGCAGACACGACUGGAGGGUGAGGUGGAGCACCAGCGUGGCGCCUUCAGGGAGGCACAGCUGCGGCAGGAGGGCUGCAUAGAGCAGUAACCACAUUAGACACCAGACUCCACUUCGAGAACCAGGCGA